Molecule: RNase P RNA, 341 nt
Filed under: bovine gut metagenome
Description: Bacterial RNase P class B
Rfam family: Bacterial RNase P class B
About the family: Ribonuclease P (RNase P) is a ubiquitous endoribonuclease, found in archaea, bacteria and eukarya as well as chloroplasts and mitochondria. Its best characterised activity is the generation of mature 5'-ends of tRNAs by cleaving the 5'-leader elements of precursor-tRNAs. Cellular RNase Ps are ribonucleoproteins.
Source: RNAcentral
UUAGGGUAAUCGAGCGUAUAUUUAUAUACGUUAGGAAAGUCCAUGCUAGCACAGCCUGUGAUGGCUGUAGUGUUUGUGCCAGUCUAAAAAAUAAGGCUGGGUACCCCAAAAGGGUAACGGCAGAUUAAGGCCUAAGUCCUAUGGAUAUGGCUAUAUCUAAACGUGCCACAGAGACGAGCUAUUUAGAAAUAAAUAGAUGAAACGCGGUAAACCCCUCAAGCUAGAAAUCCAAAUUUGGUAGGAGAGCUUUCCCAAGGCGAAUAAGAAGCUAUUGGGAGGGAUGAUGAAAGUCAUAGAUAGAUGAUUACCAUUCAGUAAUGAAUACAUAACAUGGCUUAUAU